This 232-nucleotide long non-coding RNA is filed under the name Dasypus novemcinctus (nine-banded armadillo). Its description in RNAcentral is "lncRNA (ENSDNOG00000050420.1)". The record is from RNAcentral. Lineage: Eukaryota; Metazoa; Chordata; Mammalia; Cingulata; Dasypodidae.
GCGGAGUGUCUACUCAGAGGCCAGGAACUUCCGUUUCGGUCUAGCCGGGCUGCGGCCAUUGUUGAUGUGAGAGGAAUCUUUUGGCCGGUGUCCGUCCUCUUUAAGGGGCUCCGGACCUGUGAUUGCCAAGACGGGCCCAGCGUGGUAAAGGUUCAUGCCCCCGUUUUACAGGUGAGGAAACUGAAGCCCUGGGAUGUCUAGAAAUAGGAUUUUCUCAAAGUCCUUCAAAUCU